Molecule: ribosomal RNA, 2931 nt
Filed under: Shigella flexneri
Lineage: Bacteria; Pseudomonadati; Pseudomonadota; Gammaproteobacteria; Enterobacterales; Enterobacteriaceae
Description: bacterial LSU rRNA
Rfam family: Bacterial large subunit ribosomal RNA
Source: RNAcentral
GGGUUGUGAGGUUAAGCGACUAAGCGUACACGGUGGAUGCCCUGGCAGUCAGAGGCGAUGAAGGACGUGCUAAUCUGCGAUAAGCGUCGGUAAGGUGAUAUGAACCGUUAUAACCGGCGAUUUCCGAAUGGGGAAACCCAGUGUGAUUCGUCACACUAUCAUUAACUGAAUCCAUAGGUUAAUGAGGCGAACCGGGGGAACUGAAACAUCUAAGUACCCCGAGGAAAAGAAAUCAACCGAGAUUCCCCCAGUAGCGGCGAGCGAACGGGGAGCAGCCCAGAGCCUGAAUCAGUGUGUGUGUUAGUGGAAGCGUCUGGAAAGGCGCGCGAUACAGGGUGACAGCCCCGUACACAAAAAUGCACAUGCUGUGAGCUCGAUGAGUAGGGCGGGACACGUGGUAUCCUGUCUGAAUAUGGGGGGACCAUCCUCCAAGGCUAAAUACUCCUGACUGACCGAUAGUGAACCAGUACCGUGAGGGAAAGGCGAAAAGAACCCCGGCGAGGGGAGUGAAAAAGAACCUGAAACCGUGUACGUACAAGCAGUGGGAGCACGCUUAGGCGUGUGACUGCGUACCUUUUGUAUAAUGGGUCAGCGACUUAUAUUCUGUAGCAAGGUUAACCGAAUAGGGGAGCCGAAGGGAAACCGAGUCUUAACUGGGCGUUAAGUUGCAGGGUAUAGACCCGAAACCCGGUGAUCUAGCCAUGGGCAGGUUGAAGGUUGGGUAACACUAACUGGAGGACCGAACCGACUAAUGUUGAAAAAUUAGCGGAUGACUUGUGGCUGGGGGUGAAAGGCCAAUCAAACCGGGAGAUAGCUGGUUCUCCCCGAAAGCUAUUUAGGUAGCGCCUCGUGAAUUCAUCUCCGGGGGUAGAGCACUGUUUCGGCAAGGGGGUCAUCCCGACUUACCAACCCGAUGCAAACUGCGAAUACCGGAGAAUGUUAUCACGGGAGACACACGGCGGGUGCUAACGUCCGUCGUGAAGAGGGAAACAACCCAGACCGCCAGCUAAGGUCCCAAAGUCAUGGUUAAGUGGGAAACGAUGUGGGAAGGCCCAGACAGCCAGGAUGUUGGCUUAGAAGCAGCCAUCAUUUAAAGAAAGCGUAAUAGCUCACUGGUCGAGUCGGCCUGCGCGGAAGAUGUAACGGGGCUAAACCAUGCACCGAAGCUGCGGCAGCGACGCUUAUGCGUUGUUGGGUAGGGGAGCGUUCUGUAAGCCUGUGAAGGUGUACUGUGAGGUAUGCUGGAGGUAUCAGAAGUGCGAAUGCUGACAUAAGUAACGAUAAAGCGGGUGAAAAGCCCGCUCGCCGGAAGACCAAGGGUUCCUGUCCAACGUUAAUCGGGGCAGGGUGAGUCGACCCCUAAGGCGAGGCCGAAAGGCGUAGUCGAUGGGAAACAGGUUAAUAUUCCUGUACUUGGUGUUACUGCGAAGGGGGGACGGAGAAGGCUAUGUUGGCCGGGCGACGGUUGUCCCGGUUUAAGCGUGUAGGCUGGUUUUCCAGGCAAAUCCGGAAAAUCAAGGCCGAGGCGUGAUGACGAGGCACUACGGUGCUGAAGCAACAAAUGCCCUGCUUCCAGGAAAAGCCUCUAAGCAUCAGGUAACAUCAAAUCGUACCCCAAACCGACACAGGUGGUCAGGUAGAGAAUACCAAGGCGCUUGAGAGAACUCGGGUGAAGGAACUAGGCAAAAUGGUGCCGUAACUUCGGGAGAAGGCACGCUGAUACGUAGGUGAAGCGACUUGCUCGUGGAGCUGAAAUCAGUCGAAGAUACCAGCUGGCUGCAACUGUUUAUUAAAAACACAGCACUGUGCAAACACGAAAGUGGACGUAUACGGUGUGACGCCUGCCCGGUGCCGGAAGGUUAAUUGAUGGGGUUAGCGCAAGCGAAGCUCUUGAUCGAAGCCCCGGUAAACGGCGGCCGUAACUAUAACGGUCCUAAGGUAGCGAAAUUCCUUGUCGGGUAAGUUCCGACCUGCACGAAUGGCGUAAUGAUGGCCAGGCUGUCUCCACCCGAGACUCAGUGAAAUUGAACUCGCUGUGAAGAUGCAGUGUACCCGCGGCAAGACGGAAAGACCCCGUGAACCUUUACUAUAGCUUGACACUGAACAUUGAGCCUUGAUGUGUAGGAUAGGUGGGAGGCUUUGAAGUGUGGACGCCAGUCUGCAUGGAGCCGACCUUGAAAUACCACCCUUUAAUGUUUGAUGUUCUAACGUGGACCCGUGAUCCGGGUUGCGGACAGUGUCUGGUGGGUAGUUUGACUGGGGCGGUCUCCUCCUAAAGAGUAACGGAGGAGCACGAAGGUUGGCUAAUCCUGGUCGGACAUCAGGAGGUUAGUGCAAUGGCAUAAGCCAGCUUGACUGCGAGCGUGACGGCGCGAGCAGGUGCGAAAGCAGGUCAUAGUGAUCCGGUGGUUCUGAAUGGAAGGGCCAUCGCUCAACGGAUAAAAGGUACUCCGGGGAUAACAGGCUGAUACCGCCCAAGAGUUCAUAUCGACGGCGGUGUUUGGCACCUCGAUGUCGGCUCAUCACAUCCUGGGGCUGAAGUAGGUCCCAAGGGUAUGGCUGUUCGCCAUUUAAAGUGGUACGCGAGCUGGGUUUAGAACGUCGUGAGACAGUUCGGUCCCUAUCUGCCGUGGGCGCUGGAGAACUGAGGGGGGCUGCUCCUAGUACGAGAGGACCGGAGUGGACGCAUCACUGGUGUUCGGGUUGUCAUGCCAAUGGCACUGCCCGGUAGCUAAAUGCGGAAGAGAUAAGUGCUGAAAGCAUCUAAGCACGAAACUUGCCCCGAGAUGAGUUCUCCCUGACCCUUUAAGGGUCCUGAAGGAACGUUGAAGACGACGACGUUGAUAGGCCGGGUGUGUAAGCGCAGCGAUGCGUUGAGCUAACCGGUACUAAUGAACCGUGAGGCUUAACCUUACAACGCCGAAGGUGUUU